AUUGAACGCUGGCGGCAGGCCUAACACAUGCAAGUCGAGCGGAUGAAGGGAGCUUGCUCCUGGAUUCAGCGGCGGACGGGUGGGUAAGGCCUAGGAAUCUGCCUGGUAGUGGGGGAUAACGUCCGGAAACGGGCGCUAAUACCGCAUACGUCCUGAGGGAGAAAGGGGGGGAGCUUCGGACCUCACGCUCUCGGAUGAGCCUAGGUCGGAUUAGCUAGUUGGUGGGGUAAAGGCCUACCAAGGCGACGAUCCGUAACUGGUCUGAGAGGAUGAACAGUCACACUGGAACUGAGACACGGUCCAGACUCCUACGGGAGGCAGCAGUGGGGAAUAUUGGACAAUGGGCGAAAGCCUGAUCCAGCCAUGCCGCGUGUGUGAAGAAGGUCUUCGGAUUGUAAAGCACUUUAAGUUGGGAGGAAGGGCAGUAAGUUAAUACCUUGCUGUUUUGACGUUACCAACAGAAUAAGCACCGGCUAACUUCGUG
Molecule: ribosomal RNA, 484 nt
Filed under: uncultured bacterium
Lineage: Bacteria
Description: partial 16S ribosomal RNA
Rfam family: Bacterial small subunit ribosomal RNA
Source: RNAcentral